GGGGAGCACGUGAAGUCAUCUGGAGCUAUCAGUGGAGGCCUGGAAACAAAAAUGCUUGAGUUGUGCAUGGCAGAGCUGCUUGAAUUCAUACCAAGGUUUGAGCAGGAGUUCAUGGCGUGGAGCACUGCCCAGGACAGCCCCAGCUUUGUGCCCCACCUUGUUGCCUACAUCAACAGCUUCCAUGACCUGGUGUCAGGGUUGGAAACAGCGUUUAAAGUCAAUACUGAGGAGCUGCAGAAGAUUUUGGCAACUCUGACAAGGAACUUCACAAAUAUUUUUUUAACAAAAUUAAGAACAAAAACACAGCCACUCCUUAAGAAAAUCCUGACCAAGAGCUGGAUUUUGGCGACGGAAAGGCCGGACUCUCUGGCGUUGGCAGUCUCACAGUUCUCUGAGCACCUGCAGCACAUGAGGGAGCCCCUGGGGCAGGUAGGCAGCCAGUCCCUCACCUGGCACAGGAAUGCUGAGGGGCCACACCAUCAUCUUCAGGCUGUGGUGAGACCUGCAGACUCCUCUGC
RNAcentral lists this long non-coding RNA (518 nucleotides) under Zonotrichia albicollis (white-throated sparrow). Its description in RNAcentral is "lncRNA (ENSZALG00000006122.1)". Lineage: Eukaryota; Metazoa; Chordata; Aves; Passeriformes; Passerellidae. The record is from RNAcentral.